GAUCCUGGCUCAGGAUGAACGCUAGCUACAGGCUUAACACAUGCAAGUCGAGGGGCAGCAUGGUCUUGGCUUGCUAAGGCUGAUGGCGACCGGCGCACGGGUGAGUAACACGUAUCCAACCUGCCGUCUACUCUUGGCCAGCCUUCUGAAAGGAAGAUUAAUCCAGGGUGGGAUCAUGAGUUCACAUGUCCGCAUGAUUAAAGGUAUUUUCCGGUAGACGAUGGGG
This 226-nucleotide ribosomal RNA is filed under the name uncultured bacterium. RNAcentral's name for it is "partial 16S ribosomal RNA". It matches the Rfam family "Bacterial small subunit ribosomal RNA", at positions 15 to 230 of the family's 1533-position model. The record is from RNAcentral.